AGUGAACGCUGGCGGUAGGCCUAACACAUGCAAGUCGAACGGCAGCACAGUAAGAGCUUGCUCUUACGGGUGGCGAGUGGCGUACGGGUGAGGAAUACAUCGGAAUCUACUUUUUCGUGGGGGAUAACGUAGGGAGACUUACGCUAAUACCGCAUACGACCUACGGGUGAAAGCGGGGGAUCUUCGGACCUUGCGCGAUUGGAUGCGCCGAUGUCGGAUUAGCUAGUUGGCGGGGUGAAGGCCCACCAAGGCGACGAUCCGUAGCUGGUCUGGGAGGAGGAUCAGCCACACUGGAACUGAGACACGGUCCAGACUCCUACGGGAGGCAGCAGUGGGGAAUAUUGGACAAUGGGCGCAAGCCUGAUCCAGCCAGACCGCGUGGGUGAAGAAGGCCUUCGGGUUGUAAAGCCCGUUUUUGGGGAAAGAAAAGCAGCAGGUUAAUACCCCGCGGUUCUGACGGUACCCAAAGAAUAAGCACCGGCUAACUUCGUG
This 492-nucleotide ribosomal RNA is filed under the name uncultured bacterium. RNAcentral describes it as "partial 16S ribosomal RNA". It matches the Rfam family "Bacterial small subunit ribosomal RNA", at positions 29 to 507 of the family's 1533-position model. The record is from RNAcentral.